RNAcentral lists this transfer RNA (76 nucleotides) under Actinomycetes bacterium. Its description in RNAcentral is "tRNA-Phe". It matches the Rfam family "tRNA". Rfam says of the family: Transfer RNA (tRNA) molecules are approximately 80 nucleotides in length. Their secondary structure includes four short double-helical elements and three loops (D, anti-codon, and T loops). Further hydrogen bonds mediate the characteristic L-shaped molecular structure. tRNAs have two regions of fundamental functional importance: the anti-codon, which is responsible for specific mRNA codon recognition, and the 3' end, to which the tRNAs corresponding amino acid is attached (by aminoacyl-tRNA synthetases). tRNAs cope with the degeneracy of the genetic code in two manners: having more than one tRNA (with a specific anti-codon) for a particular amino acid; and 'wobble' base-pairing, i.e. permitting non-standard base-pairing at the 3rd anti-codon position. The record is from RNAcentral. Lineage: Bacteria; Bacillati; Actinomycetota; Actinomycetes.
GGCCAGGUAGCUCAGGUGGUAGAGCAGGGGACUGAAAAUCCCCGUGUCGGCGGUUCAAGUCCGUAUCUGGCCACCA